AUUGCUUCUCAGCCUUUUGGCUAAGAUCAAGUGUAGUAACAUUAUCAAUAGAUGCUUGAGAAACAAAGCAUGGCAACAUGAUUCUGAGAAUUUUGUGCUUUUUUCAUUCCUGUGUCAUUCAUAGAAUCAUCCCCUC
Molecule: small nuclear RNA, 136 nt
Organism: Anolis carolinensis (green anole)
Lineage: Eukaryota; Metazoa; Chordata; Lepidosauria; Squamata; Anolidae
Gene: U2
Rfam family: U2 spliceosomal RNA
About the family: U2 is a small nuclear RNA (snRNA) component of the spliceosome (involved in pre-mRNA splicing). Complementary binding between U2 snRNA (in an area lying towards the 5' end but 3' to hairpin I) and the branchpoint sequence (BPS) of the intron results the bulging out of an unpaired adenosine, on the BPS, which initiates a nucleophilic attack at the intronic 5' splice site, thus starting the first of two transesterification reactions that mediate splicing.
Source: Ensembl